GACGAACGCUGGCGGCGUGCUUAACACAUGCAAGUCGAGCGGAGCGGCGAACGGGUGAGUAACGCGUGAGUAACUGCCCCCCUCCCUGGGAAAACAGUUGGAAACGGCUCCUAAUACCGGAUAGUGGGGGAUGACUCGGGUCCUAGCGGCUUGUGGGUGGGGGAGUGGCUUACCAGGGCGACGCCGGGUAGCCGGCCUGGGAGGGCGACCGGCCACAUUGGGCUGAGGUACGGCCCAAACUCCUACGGGAGGCAGCAGUGGGGAAUAUUGCACAAUGGGGGAAACCCUGAUGCAGCAACGCCGCGUGCGGGAUGACGGCCUUCGGGUUGUAAACCGCUUUCAGCCAUGACGCGGUAGUGGCAGAAGAAGCACCGGCUAACUACGUGCCAGCAGCCGCGGUAAUAC
Molecule: ribosomal RNA, 405 nt
Filed under: uncultured bacterium
Lineage: Bacteria
Description: partial 16S ribosomal RNA
Rfam family: Bacterial small subunit ribosomal RNA
Source: RNAcentral